This 363-nucleotide ribosomal RNA is filed under the name uncultured eukaryote. Its description in RNAcentral is "partial 18S ribosomal RNA". It matches the Rfam family "Eukaryotic small subunit ribosomal RNA", at positions 592 to 976 of the family's 1831-position model. The record is from RNAcentral.
CAAUAGCGUAUAUUAUUGAUGUUGCAGUUGAAACGUUCGUAGUCGAAUUUUACUCGCCCCACUAGCUGUGUCGUCGCAGACGGUUUCGGUUACGUGAGCGGGGAGAGUGCUAUGUUGUGAUGUUUCAUCGCUUCCUCUUGCACCUUACUUUGAGUGAAUCGGCGUGUUCCACGCAGGCGUAUGCCUUGAACGAUUUACCAUAGCAUAACCAUAGUACGAUGAUGUUUCCUUGUUAGUUCGGAAACGUUUUCGAUACAGAAAAGAACGGUUGAGGGCAUUCGUAUUCAACUGCUAGAGGUGAAAUUCUUUGAUUAGUUGAGGACGAACCAUUGCGAAAGCAUCUGCCAAGGACGUUUCUUUUGA